Long non-coding RNA from Rhododendron vialii, 441 nucleotides. RefSeq lists it as uncharacterized. The record is from RefSeq and is a predicted model, not a curated record. The transcript is spliced from 2 exons. Lineage: Eukaryota; Viridiplantae; Streptophyta; Magnoliopsida; Ericales; Ericaceae.
GAUGAUUCCAAAGUCGGCUUGACCCGGAGAUCGAGGUGGUGAACUUGUGGUGGCUAUGGAAUCAAGAAGGGGCUCGGAGAGCUAUAUCAAAGAGUGGAGUUAGGUGUCACAAGAGGCUUGUGGAUUGCUCAACAAUCGAUGGUGAUCAUUUGGUGCAUGGAGAUACAAUAUUGGAGUAGGAGAUCGGAGUUGAAAAAUGUUUUGGAGGACAAAACUGCUAUUUGCCUUGGUGUUUGAAUUUGCACUAUAGUAAGACAGUGCAUGUUUUGUCCAGUUAGUAGGUGCUGGUUUUGAGGUACAUUGAACUGGAUUUGUCAUACCAAGUGGAAUGGGAUAAGUAGCUAUUGGUUAAUGUCAUGUACUGACCUCCUUUUUGUUAUAUGAAGUGGAAUGGCAUUAGUACUUGGUUUUGUGUAUCAAUUGGAAUUAGAGUAUUGAUCA